Molecule: ribosomal RNA, 496 nt
Filed under: Lasmigona costata
Lineage: Eukaryota; Metazoa; Mollusca; Bivalvia; Unionida; Unionidae
Description: partial 16S ribosomal RNA
Rfam family: Bacterial large subunit ribosomal RNA
Source: RNAcentral
CGUCUUUUGCUAUUAUUACUAAUAAAAGAUACUGCCUGCCCUAUGAUUUUCUUUAAAUGGCCGCGUUAGCGUGAGCGUGCUAAGGUAGCGUAAUAAACAGCUCUCUAAUUAGGAGCCAGUGAAUGGCUAAACGGAGAAAAACUUUAUCAUCAAUGAGUAGAAAACUUUUCGUUUAAGUGAAAAGACUUAAAUUAAAGAAAAAGACAAAAAGACCCCGCGGAACUUCCUUAAAACCUUAUUACAUAGAUAAUAUUUUUGCUUAAGGCUAACUGGUUGGUUGGGGCAACCUUGGAGCAAAACAAACCUCCAUUCUCUAAAAAACUCCAUACAAAACUUCAUAUGGACCAUAUUUACAGUUACCCCGGGGAUAACAGCGUCAUUCAACUUAAGAGUACGAAUCAAAAGUUGGGUUUGCGACCUCGAUGUUGGCUUAGGGAAAGCAAUUUGGUGCAGCCGCUAAAUUUACAAUGCCAGUCUGUUCGACUGUUAAUCCCCU